Molecule: ribosomal RNA, 241 nt
Filed under: uncultured bacterium
Lineage: Bacteria
Description: partial 16S ribosomal RNA
Rfam family: Bacterial small subunit ribosomal RNA
Source: RNAcentral
GAUCAUGGCUCAGGACGAACGCUGGCGGCGUGCCUAACACAUGCAAGUCGAACGAAGCUCCCCGAUACAAGGCUUCGGCCAAGUUGAAGGGAUGACUUAGUGGCGGACGGGUGAGUAACGCGUGAGGAACCUGCCUUUCAGUGGGGGACAACAGUUGGAAACGACUGCUAAUACCGCAUAAUGUUUCUGGACCGCAUGAUCUGGAAACCAAAGCUUUAUGUGCUGAAAGAUGGCCUCGCGU